Molecule: long non-coding RNA, 2196 nt
Organism: Aquila chrysaetos chrysaetos
Lineage: Eukaryota; Metazoa; Chordata; Aves; Accipitriformes; Accipitridae
Source: Ensembl
CCUCAGAGCCCUCACCGCGGAGCAGGUUGGGGUUAAUCACUGAAGCCGUUGCUCUUUUGCCAACAUCUAAACUUUGUGCGUGAGACAGAUGUGCAAGGCCAGUUAGAUGUGCCUACCAGUAGAUUAUCUUCAGGACAGUGGCUGCGGGAAGAGGAAGGUACCUCUUCAUUCUCUCUUGUCUGCCUUUCUGCUGAGUGGAGCUGUAGGUAUGUCAGUGAGAGGCCACCAGGUGCCUGCUUCCUACUGUCAGUCAUGGUAAAGUGCUUGCUGGCUUUUUACAAUCUAAUUCAUGCUGGUUUUUCAAUUCUUUCUGGCAGUCACCUUGUAAGUGUGUAGUUAGUAGCAGUCCAAUACUUAACAAUAUAAUAAACUUCAAAAUUUGUUACCGCAGAGCACUAGUUCAUAUUUUUGCAGCUGGAAGUAAGGGUAACAGCAGUCUUAGCCUCAAAGUGUUGGUAGUCAUGGCAAAAGUCAGAUUUAUAGUAAGCAUCUAAAUUAUCUGGAAGAAGGUGUUUAUGAGUUCUCAGUGAAUAAAGGUGAAAUGCUCUGAGUAGUUACCAAUCCUAUGUCUGUCCUCAUCCUCCUUUUGUAUUCCCUUUUGAAGCUUUCUGUAUCAUCAGGCCUGUAAACGCACAAAUUAUGCUGGUUAUACUCCAGACUUGCAUCGAAGUGUGUAGGGUUUAUUCUUUAACCAGAACCGGUACAAAUGUCUGCGUGGAGAUGCCUGCCAGUUUACAGCUCCACUGGUGAAUACCAGGUUGAAAGCUGCUUUUUCCUCCUCCAUGUGGGUAAACAAGGACAACUUGAGCUCGGCUCUAUUCAUCUGCAGUCCUGUCCUAGCUGUCGAAGGUGCAGGAAUCUUAACAAGACAGAGUCGAGCCUUCUCUUGGAAGUCUCAAUCCAGGAGUUUUUCACAACUUUUAGAGGCUGCAGCUGAAUCAAGCCAAAAUGUGAAUGUUUGGAGCACCUUCAUCACAGGAGGACUCGCGCACUGCUGAGAGCCUACAGCAGGAGUUACAGGGCUGUGCCAGCCCUGCAGCAUUCUUUAACACGAAACUGGGAGGCCAGCCCUGGAAAGGGAAAACGCAAGAGCCAUCCAAAUGGAACUGUUCAGAGGAGAGUUUAAUUUAAUUGCUCCGCUAAUCUAGUUGAUAUCUUCAUGCUACUUUAAUUCUGUUCUGGGGUGCGAGUGUUGUAGCUGGCUGACCACGCGGUCAUCAGGCUGAACGAAAAGCAAAGUUUAGUUUUAAUCUUUAGUUUCCGGAUUUUUCCUUUGAGACUUCGUUCAUGGGAGGGUCUGACAAAGUUGCUGUGAAUAUUGAUGCUGUGUAUAUGGCACAUUUUGUAAACGUGAAGCAAACCUGGAUGAAUGUUUUGUAUACCACGACAGUAGCAUUGUAAUCCUGCUCCUUUUUUAUUCUAAAUAAAUAAAUAAAGUACUUGUUUGUAAUGUCUGUAUUUUGAGGGACUGAAUUCCUGGGAGGGACAUGGGGUGCCAAGAGCCGGGACUGGCAAGAAACAGCAGCAUAGUUAAGCACUCAGUCCUUCAGCAUGAGACUUCACACUUAAAAAAAAAAAAAAAAAAAAGCUUAAUAAUAAAAAUCUCACUGUGGCCACUGUCACAGGACACCGGUGGUAAAGCCUGAGAGAGGACCUGGGGUCCGAUACUGCCCUUCAGCCCCACAACCAUUCCCUUCUCCUCGCCAGCAUAGGUUCAAUCCCUCUUUUCCCUGGCCUCCCAAACCGCUGCAUGGCAGCACUCCAGCUCCAGAAAACAAUUCUGCUAAAGAACCAACUUUCUUUGAUGAAAGUGGCCUGAUAUCACCUUUUCUUUUCUUCCGUAGAAUCAAACAGUUCUUGUUGCAGAAAGAGGAGAGUAACCCAGGAGAGCCUGCUUGUAGAAGGGAAUAGACAAUUUUCUGUACGAAUUACGUAUGACAAGGCAAGAGUUACCUUUCAGGUUCAGUUUUGGCAACCGUGACACAGACGGGCAGUUACAGUUCACCACAGUUAGAACCACAGUUCACUCCUACUUAAGAUCAACUCGGCUCCAGCUGCCCCUCUGGGAAGCAGAACUGAGGCACAGGAACCUGCCCAGCCUGUCUCUGCUCUAAACCAAACCUUAAGGACCUGUACGAACGCCUUCCUGGCCCUGCCUUCAUUAGAGUCCCGCAGCUUCUACAGCACCUUGUGAAC